This 776-nucleotide ribosomal RNA is filed under the name uncultured Neocallimastigales. Its description in RNAcentral is "partial large subunit ribosomal RNA". It matches the Rfam family "Eukaryotic large subunit ribosomal RNA", at positions 23 to 620 of the family's 3401-position model. The record is from RNAcentral. Lineage: Eukaryota; Fungi; Neocallimastigomycota; Neocallimastigomycetes; Neocallimastigales.
AGAGAGAGACAUGCGCGCAUAUCAAUAAGCGGAGGAAAAGAAACUAACAAGGAUUCCCUUAGUAACGGCGAGUGAAGCGGGAAGAGCUCAAAUUUGAAAUCUUCAAGGUUUUACCUUGACGAAUUGUAGUUUAAAGAAGUGUUUUCUGCUGAAGUUUUGGUAAAAGUUCUUUGGAAUAGGACAUCAUAGAGGGUGAGAAUCCCGUAUUUGACCAUUAUUUUCAGCUUUGUGAUACACUUUCAAAGAGUCGGAUUGUUUGGGAAUGCAGUCCAAAAUGGGUGGUAAAUUUCAUCUAAAGCUAAAUAUUGGCGAGAGACCGAUAGCGAACAAGUACCGUGAGGGAAAGAUGAAAAGAACUUUGAAAAGAGAGUUAAACAGUACGUGAAAUUGUCAAAAGGGAAGCGUUUGACACCAGUGUUGUUUUCUCGAAAAUCAAUUAAAAAUGGCUCGAUUUUGUAUUGCUUGAGACCUUAAAAGCUCACUGUACAUUUUUCGUGUCUUUUUUAAUGCACUUUUCGUUUAACAAGUCAACAUCAGUUUCUUUUGUUGUAAAAGGGUCAUUGGAAGGUGGCUUUCUUUUCGGAGAAAGUGUUUAUAGCCUUUGGCCUCUGCAAUCGGAAGAGACUGAGGUCUGCAGCGUAGACUCUUCGGGGUUAGAUACAUUUGUGCUAAGUUAUAGCUUUUUAUAGACAACUUGUUGACUAUAAUUAGUCUUGUAGCUUACUCGCUUAUGCUAUUUUACCUACGCUUAGGAUGUUGAAGAUGUAGCACAUCAU